Molecule: ribosomal RNA, 417 nt
Filed under: uncultured Gammaproteobacteria bacterium
Lineage: Bacteria; Pseudomonadati; Pseudomonadota; Gammaproteobacteria
Description: bacterial SSU rRNA
Rfam family: Bacterial small subunit ribosomal RNA
Source: RNAcentral
AAUGGGCGCAAGCCUGAUGCAGCCAUGCCGCGUGUGUGAAGAAGGCCUUCGGGUUGUAAAGCACCUUCAGUUGUGAGGAAGGUAGUGUAGUUAAUAGCUGCAUUAUUUGACGUUAGCGACAGAAGAAGCACCGGCUAACUCCGUGCCAGCAGCCGCGGUAAUACGGAGGGUGCGAGCGUUAAUCGGAAUUACUGGGCGUAAAGCGCAUGCAGGUGGUUUGUUAAGUCAGAUGUGAAAGCCCGGGGCUCAACCUCGGAAUUGCAUUUGAAACUGGCAGACUAGAGUACUGUAGAGGGGGGUAGAAUUUCAGGUGUAGCGGUGAAAUGCGUAGAGAUCUGAAGGAAUACCGGUGGCGAAGGCGGCCCCCUGGACAGAUACUGACACUCAGAUGCGAAAGCGUGGGGAGCAAACAGGAUU